AUGCUUUUGUGGAGCAAUGGGUAACGAUGCUUCGAGGGUGACUGUUGUUGAUGUGUGCAGAGGGUCCCUGGUUCGCGCCCGGGUAUGGGUGAGGGAAGGGGACGGUCUAAAGUUAUACUGUUACACAUCCACAUGUGCAGUAGCUUCAGGACAUUUAGCUGUCAGGAAGAGGGGUCCGGAACAGUCGGAUCUGUAGCCUCUCCGUUGUUUAUAUAUUAGUGGUUUGAGAGAGAGGCCAUAAAAUGUUUUCAGACACAUUUGGAAGGCAUGUCUUGAUACAUAAUGGCAUCUUAAAGAUGUAUUUUUUUUUAAAGUAUCUAUGUCUUGAAGCGUCUCAAGAUUUCUCAACUUGUGAUGGCUGGGUACGUAGGUUUAUAAACGAUCAGAAACAUAUUUUCGCAGUCUUCACUUUGGGCUUCCAUAGUCCGUUUGUGAUGGCUGGGUACGUAGGUUUAUAAACGAUCAGAAACAUAUUUUCGCAGUCUUCACUUUGGGCUUCCAUAGUCCGAUUGUGACAGGUGGCAAUAAAGGGCCCAACUACGGUGGGAUGAACGUAUCUUCUGUCGUUGGCUUUUAUCCUUUUAUGGAAAUAGGGAGAACGUGCAUUUUUUUAUGGCUUAUGAAAAGUUUUACAGACCCCUCAGAGCUUUUUACAGUAAUGUUUUCCUCAUUGAAAUAAGAACCCUGUUUAUACCUGGUGCUAUCAUGCGUUUCCUUUGUCCUGAACUUGUCCACAUUCUGAUUUGUGUCCACAUUUACACAGACGAGUAAACUAACUGAUUAGCAGCAACAUUUCCUGAGGCAGUUUGGGACGAAUUGAUUGGCUGGAUCCAAGCUUACUGACAGGCCAGUGGGCAGGGUUUACAGGUGAGCGUCAAAUAAGAAAAGGAGUGUCUGCGGAGCUGACUUUUACGGGAUCUUUAGUCCACCGGAUCCUGAUGCUUUACACUAUAUAUUCUCUGUUCUCUAUUACACAGGUGGCAAACGGGAGGGGCAACUGUCUGCGUGUUAUCACUCCUGCCUUGUACUUAAUUAAUAAAUAAAGGUCACUGAUUAGUAAGGAACUCCCUUCACCUGGUUGUCUAGGUCACUGAUUAGUAAGGAACUCCCUUCACCUGGUUGUCUAGGUCACUGAUUAUUAAGGAACUCCCAUCACCUGGUUGUCUAGGGCUUAAUUGAAUAGAAAAGGAAAAAAAAACAGCAGACACUAGAACCUCUAUGGAAUGAGUUGGACACCGCUGGUCUACUAUGUGUAAAGAACAAGCCACUGGGGGUUCUCCUUUAAUGAAGUUAGGUCACAGCUGAAUGGUGCUCCUUUUAAUGAAGUUUUUUAAUUUUAAAAAUUUAAUUUCACCUUUAUUUAACCAGGUAGGCCAGUUGAGAACAUGUUCUCAUUUUUUAACUGCGACCUGGCCAAGAUAAAGCAAAGCAGUUCAACACAAACAACACAGAGCUACACAUGGAGUAAAACAAAGAGUCAAUAAUACAGUAGAAAAAUAAGUCUAUAUACAAUGUGAGCAAAUGAGGUGAGAUAAGGGAGGUAAAGGCAACAAAAGGCCAUGGUGGCGAAGUAAAUACAAUAUAGCAAUUAAA
Oncorhynchus tshawytscha (Chinook salmon) is the source of this 1593-nucleotide long non-coding RNA. Lineage: Eukaryota; Metazoa; Chordata; Actinopteri; Salmoniformes; Salmonidae. The record is from Ensembl.